Molecule: ribosomal RNA, 1383 nt
Filed under: Chaetothyriales sp. A527
Lineage: Eukaryota; Fungi; Ascomycota; Eurotiomycetes; Chaetothyriales
Description: LSU rRNA
Rfam family: Eukaryotic large subunit ribosomal RNA
Source: RNAcentral
UUAAGCAUAUCAAUAAGCGGAGGAAAAGAAACCAACAGGGAUUGCCCUAGUAACGGCGAGUGAAGCGGCAAAAGCUCAAAUUUGAAAUCUGGCUUCGGCCCGAGUUGUAAUUUGUAGAGGAUGUUUCGGGCACCGCCCCGGCGUAAGUCCCUUGGAACAGGGCGUCAUAGAGGGUGAGAAUCCCGUCUGGCGUCGUGGUAGGGCCCAUGUGAAACUCCUUCGACGAGUCGAGUUGUUUGGGAAUGCAGCUCAAAAUGGGUGGUAAAUUUCAUCUAAAGCUAAAUACUGGCCAGAGACCGAUAGCGCACAAGUAGAGUGAUCGAAAGAUGAAAAGCACUUUGAAAAGAGAGUUAAACAGUAUGUGAAAUUGUUGAAAGGGAAGCGCUUACAACCAGACUUGAGCCCGUCGGUUCCCCCUCGCUUCUGCGUGGGCUACUCCGGCGGGUCCAGGCCAACAUCGGUUCGGGUGGCUGGUCAAAGGCCCCGGGAAUGUACCUCACCUUCGGGUUAGGCUUAUAGCCCGGGGUGUCAUGCGGCCUACCUGGACCGAGGAACGCGCUUCGGCUCGGAUGUUGGCGUAAUGGUUGUCAGCGACCCAUCUUGAAACACGGACCAAGGAGUCGAAGAGCUAUGCGAGUGUUUGGGUGUCAAACCCGUACGCGUAAUGAAAGUGAACGGAGGUAGGAAGCUUCGGCUGCACUAUCGACCGAUCCUGAUGUUCUCGGAUGGAUUUGAGUAAGAGCAUAACUCUCCGGACCCGAAAGAUGGUGAACUAUGCCUGAAUAGGGUGAAGCCAGAGGAAACUCUGGUGGAGGCUCGCAGCGGUUCUGACGUGCAAAUCGAUCGUCAAAUUUGGGUAUAGGGGCGAAAGACUAAUCGAACCAUCUGGUAGCUGGUUCCUGCCGAAGUUUCCCUCAGGAUAGCAGUAACGUUUUCAGUUUUAUGAGGUAAAGCGAAUGAUUAGAGGCCUUGGGGUUGAAACAACCUUAACCUAUUCUCAAACUUUAAAUAUGUAAGAAGUCCUUGUUACUUAGUUGAACGUGGACAUUUGAAUGUAUCGUUACUAGUGGGCCAUUUUUGGUAAGCAGAACUGGCGAUGCGGGAUGAACCGAACGUGAGGUUAAGGUGCCGGACUGCACGCUCAUCAGACACCACAAAAGGUGUCAAUGCAUCUAGACAGCCGGACGGUGGCCAUGGAAGUCGGAAUCCGCUUAGGAGUGUGUAACAACUCACCGGCCGAAUGCAUUGGCCCUGAAAAUGGAUGGCGCUUAAGCGUGCGACCUAUACCUCGCCGUCAGGGUUGACAUGAUGCCCUGACGAGUAGGCAGGCGUGGAGGUUUGUGACGAAGCCUUGGGGGUGACCCCGGGUCGAACAACCUCUAG